CACGUAGGGCGCAAGCGUUGUCCGGAAUUAUUGGGCGUAAAGCGCGUGUAGGCGGUCCGGUAAGUCCGCUGUGAAAGUCGGGGGCUCAACCCUCGAAUGCCGGUGGAUACUGUCGGGCUAGAGUGCGGAAGAGGCGAGUGGAAUUCCUGGUGUAGCGGUGAAAUGCGCAGAUAUCAGGAGGAACACCAAUUGCGAAGGCAGCUCGCUGGGACGUAACUGACGCUGAGACGCGAAAGCGUGGGGAGCAAACAGG
Molecule: ribosomal RNA, 253 nt
Filed under: uncultured bacterium
Lineage: Bacteria
Description: partial 16S ribosomal RNA
Rfam family: Bacterial small subunit ribosomal RNA
Source: RNAcentral